RNAcentral lists this long non-coding RNA (1068 nucleotides) under Pan paniscus (pygmy chimpanzee). Its description in RNAcentral is "lncRNA (ENSPPAG00000044428.1)". The record is from RNAcentral. Lineage: Eukaryota; Metazoa; Chordata; Mammalia; Primates; Hominidae.
ACUCUACUGAUAAGUGACUGAUUUUCCCUGCAAGGAUUGUCUUAUUUUAAACUUCAAAUUUAGUUGCCUUACUUUAUGUAAGGCAAUUUUGAAUGGGUUUUAAAGUGCAGUUGAAGACUAUUCAUACCUUUCUAAACCUAGAAGGCAGGAGUAGUGAACUAACGAUGGGAAGGGUGUAUCCCAGCCUUUCCAGCAUAAGGGGAAAGAGGGCUUGUCAAUGGGGAAUGUCUAAUGUGGAGAACAUGUAGGAGACAGAUGCACCGAGAUACAAAGCCAGCCAUGAACUUGCUGCACAGAGGCCAGAGUGACUGAUUUUCCUUUUGGUUACCCCUCAUUUUCAGAACCAUCUUAUGUAAAACACCCAUGAAAUACAAGAAUGAAUUAUUAAACUUAAAAAAGAGUAACUUGUGGCCGGGCGCGGUGGCUCAUGCACUUUGGGAGGCCGAGGUGGGUGGAUCACAAGGUCUGGAGAUCAAGACCUUCCUGGCUAACACAGUGAAACCCCAUCUCUACUAAAAAAUACAAAAAGUUAGCUGGGUGUGGUGGCAUGUGCCUGUAGUCCCAGCUACUCGGGAGGCUGAGGCAGGAGAAUCAUCGCUUGAACCCGGAGGCAGAGUUGCAGUGAGCCAAGAUCACGUCAGUGCACUCCAGUCUGAGUGACAGAGUGAGACUGUCUCAAACAAACAAACAAACAAACAAACUUGUAUUAACAUCUCCAUUGCCCCAUUUGCACUCCAGAAAUGGCUCAUUGAGGGGAAUUACAGUUUUCUGCAGAGAUGUAGGGAAGUACUUUGAGUGGUAGAGGUAGAAGUGGUAACAUCUAGGGGAGAGUUUGUGUUUACUCGGACUGGGGAUGGUAUGGCAGAGGCCAGUGGCAUAAAGAGCUUCAUAUGGAGACACUGGGUCUGAGAUAGGGAGUCACAGUCAGUGUGGCGGGUGCCAGAUGUGGAUCUCUGAGAGUCCACUUGGAGUGAUGGUGACUAAGACAGCAUUGGCAAGUGCUCAGCUAGGUGCCAUGGGCCAAGACAUGUGAGGACUACAACAACCUUGGACAAAAGAAGCUACGUC